RNAcentral lists this ribosomal RNA (301 nucleotides) under uncultured bacterium. RNAcentral's name for it is "partial 16S ribosomal RNA". It matches the Rfam family "Bacterial small subunit ribosomal RNA", at positions 509 to 808 of the family's 1533-position model. The record is from RNAcentral.
CAGUAGCCGCGGUAAUACGAAGGGUGCAAGCGUUACUCGGAAUUACUGGGCGUAAAGCGUGCGUAGGUGGUGGUUUAAGUCCGUUGUGAAAGCCCUGGGCUCAACCUGGGAAUUGCAGUGGAUACUGGGUCACUAGAGUGUGGUAGAGGAUAGUGGAAUUUCCGGUGUAGCAGUGAAAUGCGUAGAGAUCGGAAGGAACAUCUGUGGCGAAGGCGACUAUCUGGGCCAACACUGACACUGAGGCACGAAAGCGUGGGGAGCAAACAGGAUUAGAUACCCGCCGUAGUCCCUGUCUCUUAUU